UGACGAGUGGCGGACGGGUGAGUAAUGCUUGGGGAUCUGGCUUAUGGAGGGGGAUAACGACGGGAAACUGUCGCUAAUACCGCGUAAUGUCUAAGGACUAGAGGGUGGGACUUUCGGGCCACCUGCCAUAAGAUGAGCCCAAGUGGGAUUAGGUAGUUGGUGGGGUAAAGGCCUACCAAGCCGACGAUCUCUAGCUGGUCUGAGAGGAUGACCAGCCACACUGGAACUGAGACACGGUCCAGACUCCUACGGGAGGCAGCAGUGGGGAAUAUUGCACAAUGGGGGGAACCCUGAUGCAGCCAUGCCGCGUGGAUGAAGAAGGCCUUCGGGUUGUAAAGUUCCUUCGGUGAUGAGGAAGGGUGAUGUUUUAAUAGAGCAUUACAUUGACGUUAGUCACAGAAGAAGCACCGGCUAACUCCGUGCCAGCAGCCGCGGUAAUACGGAGGGUGCGAGCGUUAAUCGGAAUGACUGGGCGUAAAGGGCACGCAGGCGGUGACUUAAGUGAGAUGUGAAAGCCCCGAGCUUAACUUGGGAAUUGCAUUUCAUACUGGGUGGCUAGAGUAUUUUAGGGAGGGGUAGAAUUCCACGUGUAGCGGUGAAAUGCGUAGAGAUGU
Molecule: ribosomal RNA, 614 nt
Filed under: uncultured Actinobacillus sp.
Lineage: Bacteria; Pseudomonadati; Pseudomonadota; Gammaproteobacteria; Pasteurellales; Pasteurellaceae
Description: bacterial SSU rRNA
Rfam family: Bacterial small subunit ribosomal RNA
Source: RNAcentral